Molecule: unclassified non-coding RNA, 564 nt
Filed under: Phaeoclavulina sp.
Lineage: Eukaryota; Fungi; Basidiomycota; Agaricomycetes; Gomphales; Gomphaceae
Also listed under: 1 other name
Description: partial contains internal transcribed spacer 1, 5.8S ribosomal RNA, and internal transcribed spacer 2
Rfam family: 5.8S ribosomal RNA (bases 194-348)
Source: RNAcentral
CAAGUCCACGUGCACGGUCCCUCGACCUCUUUCAUCCAUUACACACACUUGUGCACUAUAGGACGAGGCCUCCCAUGAGGAGCCGCUCCAUGUAACCUCUCCUCAGGGAGUGGGGGUGGAGUCGAGGCCUCGCUUCCUCUUUCAUACAACAUCCAGUCUUAACGCAUGUAAUCGAUUUUCUUAAACGAAAUACAACUUUCAACAACGGAUCUCUUGGCUUUCGCAUCGAUGAAGGACGCCGCGAAAGUGCGAAACGUAAUGUGAAUUGCAGAAUUCAGUGAAUCAUCGAAUCUUUGAACGCAUCUUGCGCUCCUUGGUAUUCCGAGGAGCAUGCCUGUUUGAGUGUCGUGAAAUAACAUCGACCCCAGUCCUUUGCGAGGCGAAGGGUCGGAUUUGGAUGUUGCAGUCCUUUACGAGGUCUGCUCGUCUUGAAAUGCAUUAGCGUUCCGUCGCGAGAUCGGUCACAGCGGUGUGAUAAGUCUUUAUACGCCGUUCCGUCUCUCGUGUCAAGGAUGCUUCUAAUCGUCUUCGGACAACUUCAUGUCGUCUGACCUCAAAUCAGGU